Molecule: ribosomal RNA, 603 nt
Filed under: uncultured Desulfovibrio sp.
Lineage: Bacteria; Pseudomonadati; Thermodesulfobacteriota; Desulfovibrionia; Desulfovibrionales; Desulfovibrionaceae
Description: bacterial SSU rRNA
Rfam family: Bacterial small subunit ribosomal RNA
Source: RNAcentral
UCUGCGUUUCAUUAGCUACCUUGGUGGGGUGAACGGCCUACCAAGGCAACGAUGGGUAGCCGAUCUGAGAGGAUGAUCGGCCACACUGCCAACUGAAACACGGUCCAGACUCCUACGGGAGGCAGCAGUGGGGAAUAUUGCGCAAUGGGCGAAAGCCUAACGCAGCGACGCCGCGUGAGGCAUGAAGGACUUCGGAUCGUAAACCUCUGUCAGAAGGGAAGAAACUAGGGUGCUCUAAUCAUCAUCCUACUGACGGUACCUUCAAAGGAAGCACACGGCUAACUCCGUGCCAGCAGACGCGCUAAUACUGGAGAGUGCAAGCGUUAAUCGGAAUCACUGGCCGUAAAGCGCACCGGAAGCUAGUUAUGUAAGUCAGGGGGGAAAUCCCACGGCUCAACCGUGGAACUGCCCUUCAUACUGCACGACUUGAAUCCGAGAGAGGGAGGCGGAAUUCCAGGUGUAGGAGUGAAAUCCGUAGAUAUCUGGAGGAACAUCACUGGCGAAGGCGGCCACCUGCCACCGGUAUUGACGCUAAGGUGCGAAAGCGUGAGCAGCAAAUAGGAUAAGAUACNCUGGUAGUCCACGCCGUAAACGAUAGAAGCU